CAACAGAAAUUAACAAAAAACUUUAAGAAAGACUUUAAGAUCAGUUAAGAAGGAAAUGAAAUGGAAAACAGUUUAACAACUUAUAUAUCUUUCUUGGUACGUCUUUCUAUUUUGUUAUUACUUUAUGACCAAACCGAAUGACAUUUUAAAUAUGCAUCUCUAAUAUGAUUCUUUAUGAUAAAUGAUUGAAAGUAACAAAGAUCUAUGAUUUUCUCCACUUGUUAUACACUAUGUAACAGGGGAUGCAGAUAUACAGUGCCUGUAAUUAAACGGUGAUGUAAAACCUCUUAAGGAACAGGAAGGGUAUGGUUUAGAUUUUAUUUUUAUAUUUAUUAGCUAAAGAAUUUUCAGUUGCCAAAUAAAGUAGAGGGAAAAAAAAAAAAAGAGGAAAAAGCAAACACAUCUAUUUGUUACUGACAGGUUCUAGUUAAUCCAUUGCCCCCAAAGCAGAUAAUUAAAGGAUUUUAGAUGUGUUGCUGGUGAAUUCAAUUUGACACAUUAGAGUUUAUAAUCCCUGUGACCUCAAUUAUUGAGUAUGAAUGAUGGCAAACACUACUAAUCCAAAUGACUGGUGUCUUCAUUUCUUUAUAAAAUCCAAUACUUAGUUAACUAGCUGUGAAUGAAGGUUAUCUGAAUCACAAAACACCCCACCCUUCAUCUUUUGAAAGGAAAAAAAAAAUGUUCUGUCUGUGAAGGUCACUACUUUAACAGCAUGUAUUGCCUAUGUUCAGAGAGAUACAGAAAAGGAGAUGCAAUAUAUUUGUUGUUGUUGUUGUUGUUCUUAACCUUUAUCCACAAAAGAGCAACUGAAAAAAAUGUUUUGUUUAUAUACUAUUUUUUAAUAUAUUUUCUUCUUUAAAAACUUCAGUAAUCCUAUAUCAAAUGUAUCCCCAUUGCAGUGCAAGAAUCUUUGAUAGCUUUGAAGAAACACGCAAUGAAGCAGGAGCUGUUUGUCAAAACUGGGAGUCAGACUCUGAACAAGGAACAGUUCUACAUUUCAGUUAAAAGCAGACAGCUGUUCAUUCCAGUGAAAACAUUGAAUCAUUCCAGUGAAGACAGAUGUUUUCUUGACUUUUUGCAUCAUCCUUAGCUACCACUAUCAACAAAUGUAAACAGUUAUAGAGCAUUAUGAUAGAAAUUAAUGUGCACAUGAAUGUCACUGUAAGUAUUAAUCCAUUUUUUUAUCACAUUGCUUGAGCAUUGCUAUUACUAAGAAGUGGCAGUAGGGUUUUCUGUUGCACUGAGGUACUAAAUUCCCAGUAGUAGAAGAAACAACAACAGCUUGAAUGGAAUGCCAGUUAAUUGAAGGUCCCUUUAAAUUAAAGAGGAGUUUUUGAAUUGACUUCCAUGAUAAUGAGAUUUAAAUACCAUUUUGUCUUCAACUUAAUAAACAACUAAUACUAAUAACA
RNAcentral lists this long non-coding RNA (1409 nucleotides) under Anser cygnoides (Swan goose). RNAcentral's name for it is "lncRNA (ENSACDG00005011415.1)". Lineage: Eukaryota; Metazoa; Chordata; Aves; Anseriformes; Anatidae. The record is from RNAcentral.